Molecule: microRNA, 23 nt
Filed under: Mus musculus (house mouse)
Lineage: Eukaryota; Metazoa; Chordata; Mammalia; Rodentia; Muridae
Description: mmu-miR-7234-5p
Source: miRBase by way of RNAcentral
UUGUUUUCUCCAAAGACGUUUCU